GGGCGUGUAGCUCAGCGGGAGAGCGCGUGCUUAGCAUGCACGAGGCCCGGGGUUCGAUGCCCGGCGCCUCCA
Molecule: non-coding RNA, 72 nt
Organism: Neomonachus schauinslandi (Hawaiian monk seal)
Lineage: Eukaryota; Metazoa; Chordata; Mammalia; Carnivora; Phocidae
Source: the annotation of a RefSeq genome assembly